UCUCCCACUGAAUGUUUAUUUUAUUAUGCUUGGAGCCAAACUCUUUCACUAUAAAAGGGCUUGUUUAUCAUUCUUGUAGGGACAUCUUUUCUGAGACUUACACUAUCACAAAUUGUAUUAUUACCUCUACAAGCAAGAGUGAUCUUUCUAGUUUCUUAGAUUGAUUCUAUUUUGCUAAAUCCUAAAAUUCACUGUUCAUAAUUGAUUUGCCUAGAUUACGUUUUCUCCAAUCUAUAUUUAUACUUUUAUUUAUCCUAGCAUUCUGUAUUAAGUUGUACCAUAUAUCUUCGGAACUACGUAUAAAUUCAACUCUAUCCAUUUUUUCGGGUAAACAAAUAUAUACUGUCCGAACCAAGUAACAAAAGGGGUCUUGAUUCAACGGUAAAGGUUGUGGGUUCGCUGGAAAAGAUGGGGGUUCGAUUCCCGCUGAAAAUAGUGUUUUAUUUUAAAAUUUAGAACCCACACACUUAAAUCCCUAGCUCCGCCUCUGGUUCUCCAUGGAAGAAAGAAACGACUAGUCUUGAUCUCAGAGUAACCCUAGAAAGCAAGAGACCAGUCUAGUCAACCAUAAGGCCCUUUGGUUCCAACACCAAACAAGUAAUGAAGAGAAAUACUUACAGCUGCCUUGGCAAGCAAUUCCACUGGUGAUAGUUCAGAGGCAGCCUUGAAAGCAGACUUUAAACACAACUCUGUGUUUCACAAUUUGGGAUAAACUUGUCUACUGCUUUUUGCUGAAUGAACUCUUGAAGCAGCAAUCAUCUACUAGGAUGGAGUAUUCUUGGAGCUUUCCAACUGCUGAAUGAAAAUAUUGAGGAACCACAUAUGGCGGAGAAGAACACAAUCAGCUCAAAAUUUUCAAACAUUUAGAGAAAAGGUAAUUUCCUAUUGCGCUCAACUGUUGAAUACGAACUAAAUACGAAAUCCAUAUGACUUAGAGUCAACUCAUUAAUUGGUCUCCCUGUUCUUUUUUUUUUUUUGGGGCUAAAAACAUCCACUUGCUAUUUCAGUGAUUGAGUUUAGAAUAAUGUAUGAAUACUUCUAUCUCAUCCAUUUGAAAUCAUUAAAAGUAAACUAAAAGUUGGCAUGUGUACUGCUAUAACUUGAACUUAGUGGGAUCACCUUCCGUGAGUAAAAUACUUAUCUAGCUCAUCUUAUGAAUACCACUUCUCUCUUGAUAGUUUUCCUUAUAUCAUCUCAAUUAUUGAAGUUAUCAUCCUCUGAAAUCUUCUCUACCUUACCUUAUAAGUACAACAUCUCUCUUUUGAUAGUUCUCCUUCUCGAUUACUGAAGUUAUAAUCUUUUCAAGUUGUAUUUUGAGUCCUCUAGACAUAUUUUGUUGUUACUUACAUUUACUUUUUUUCUGACACGCAUAACAUCUGGAAUAUUUGUAAAUGCCUUUCCUUCUUUUACUUUUAGAUUUAUCAUUAUUUUUCUGUAUAUUCAGAGCUUAUAUUUUUGCUGUUUGUGGAUUAGUGUACCAUUUUGUCUUAUUUGUUUCCUAUGUUCUGUAGCCACAUGUGCAGGUAUAACUUAUCUUUUUUCCUCCCUCCCUCCCUUUUUCCCUCCCUAGAAAUACUAGCGCACAUCCAUAGUAUUGUUCAGUUCUUCUGAUGGGGUUUUAUGUCUAUAUUUUGUGCCAGUUUUAUGUCUUACGGAAUAAGAUCAUAUAUACUUCUAAAAGUAUUUACUUUCGAUAUCCUUGACACAUAAAAUUAAUUAAUGUAAUGUAUGAUAGAUACAAA
Molecule: non-coding RNA, 1742 nt
Organism: Nicotiana tabacum (common tobacco)
Lineage: Eukaryota; Viridiplantae; Streptophyta; Magnoliopsida; Solanales; Solanaceae
Source: RefSeq, a predicted model, not a curated record